GUGCCAGCAGCCGCGGUAAUACGAAGGGGGCUAGCGUUGUUCGGAUUUACUGGGCGUAAAGCGCAUGUAGGCGGGUCGUUAAGUUGGGGGUGAAAGCCCGAGGCUCAACCUCGGAAUUGCCUUCAAAACUGGCGACCUGGAGCAUGAUAGAGGCGAGUGGAAUUCCGAGUGUAGAGGUGAAAUUCGUAGAUAUUCGGAGGAACACCAGUGGCGAAGGCGACUCGCUGGAUCAUUGCUGACGCUGAGAUGCGAAAGCGUGGGGAGCAAACAGGAUUAGAAACCCUGGUAGUCC
RNAcentral lists this ribosomal RNA (292 nucleotides) under uncultured bacterium. Its description in RNAcentral is "partial 16S ribosomal RNA". It matches the Rfam family "Bacterial small subunit ribosomal RNA", at positions 505 to 796 of the family's 1533-position model. The record is from RNAcentral.